Molecule: small RNA, 117 nt
Filed under: Marmota monax (woodchuck)
Lineage: Eukaryota; Metazoa; Chordata; Mammalia; Rodentia; Sciuridae
Source: RNAcentral
ACUGAGCACAGUGGCAUAUACCUGUAAUCCCAGCUACUUGGAGGCUGAGGCAGGAGGAUCACCUUGAGUCCAGGAGUUCAAGGCCAUCCUGGGCAACAUAUUAAGAACCUAUCUCAG